UCGCUCAUGUUAAAUACGUUCACUUUUCAGUUUUCCUUUCUUCUAAAAUGGAGUUUGACAGAUUGGGCUUUUCAGCUCCCCCUUUUUUUCACCACCUCUGCUUUCUACCUCAGAAAUACUCUUCAGGAAGCAGGAGUUAAUCUUGGCGAGGAAACGAUAAGGCUCAACUCUGCCUCCUGUGCCUGCGUGUAGCAGUGCCUUUCUCUUUGAAUAGCCCAAUUCAUUUCAAUGAGGCUACUCACAGAAGAGAGCACUGCUCAGCAUGAGUAAGGGUGGAAGAAUUGGGCCCUGACCCUGCAGAUUUCUCCAUGUGGGUGGAUUCCUCACCCAUGUUUAGUGCUCUGGUGACUUCACUGGGUCGCUGUGCUGAACAGCUUGCAGGAUAAGGCCUAAUACUGUCUUUAAAGAAGGACAAUAGAAGGAGAAAUAUCCCUUAAAUGAUGGAGAGGAAAUGGGUUCAUCAAGAGUGUCAGGCACUUGGUGGACAGUUCAUACUUCUCUGACAAACUACAAUUUGGUGGGAAACUUCACAAGAACCCACGGUAUCAGUAAGCCCUCAUCUGUAAAUUCAUGGAGUGCCCUGCAUUUGAUUAACUUCUGCUGUCCUUCACAUCCUCUACACAAAAGAUUCUCAUUUAAUGAAAGCCAUGUCGCUAGUUCCUUUAGUGCGAUCCAGAGUUGCUCCUGGGUCACCUAGAACUGUAGCUUUUGCUGAUGUGAAGACUUCCUGCUCACGGAUAGCACGACAUGAGGCCCUACUUGCUCCAGAGCCUGAUUGGCAUGGAUCUCCUGGCACACAGAAAGGCAAAGCUGUCUGAAAAUAGAAAAAGAGGAAGAGACUGUAAAAUCUACCAAACAAAUAUGAAGAAACUGUUUUUGAAAGUAAUUUAGGGAGAUGAAGAGCACGCUCAGAAAACAUGGGCAGGACACACAUACAGCAGUAAAUUCAGAUCCACCUGAAUGGGCUUUGAGCAGGAGUUUGGCAUUCUCAACCUGGGAUACAGGUGUUGGCCUGAGAUUGGUGGCAUGUUACCGUACACCUCUGACAAGGUUAGCAGGAUGUUCCAGGUAUGUUUAUGCUACACAGCAUUGCCAUGAUCCUUGCCUGAGGGGGAAGACAUACAUGAAAUACGGAGCCCUGAAAAGAAGAGGACAUAGGAGCUGUGAGGCUCAGGAGGACAUAAGCAUGCUGGACCAGGAAGAUGAUGAGGGAGCAAGGACACCAGCUAGUGUUCCCUGAGGCCCCUGAUUCUCAGAGACAGUUUGAUAGUCAAGACAAGAUCGCUGAAACUGCAACUUUUUCUGAGCAGGGCCUUGAAUCUACACAGAGUGCGCCACUGAUUCCAAGCCCAGGGAUCUACCCGUGCUAAAUAAAUUGCAGGAUUGGGGCCUAAAGUCUGUUUAACAAUGAAAGCCUCCAGUGCCUACAUAUGAGUCUUUUUCAAGAGCAUUUAAAAAGAAAUCAAAGUGAAAUAUGGCAUUAUCUACUUGGACGUAGAGAAGAGCCCAAAAGACACUGAUCAUAUCUCAGCAUAUGACUUUAAAAAUGCUCACAUUCUAUCCAUGCAGUCAAUUGCGAUUAAGAUUUUGUUCAAAGUUGGUCAAUAGGAGAUGCAAAUAAUUUAAAAAUGAGACCGUCCUGUUAAUACUAUGAGUCAAAGCAGGAAGAAAUGGAAAAAUCCAGUUUAUGCUUUCUAAAUCACUUACCCAUGUUUUACCAGUCUUUAUCAGAGUUUGUACACUUGCUCCAAUUAAAUUAUUUUUCUUCAGGGAAGCUUGCGAGGCACUUAUAUAAAUUCUCUUAAUUUCUAAGUAAUGCAGUCCUGACAAUCACUUAAGACAAGAUAGUUGAUACUGCUGCCAGGAAAGACUCUUUUUCAAAAGAAUGUUUUUAUAGAAUAUCAUUGUGACACUUUGCUCAGAUGGAUGUCUUUAGCAGAAUUUGAUUAAUGUAAUGUAAUAAAAGAGAUGCACACUAAAGUGUCUGUACAUGUCUUGUUAAGUAUGUUUGAUUCAUUAUAUGUAGUUCUCCUCACUUCUUUUCUCUUUUCUCAGUUCAUUUUUUAUCAUUUCAAUAAUAUAUCUAUAAAUAUGAAAAAGUUGGCACUUUCAAAGUCUUUGACAUAUAGGGCUAUUAAUUCAUAACUCUAAAAAUUGUAUCUUUCAACUUGUCAUUUUAAAACUUGUACAGUUUAUUACAGUAAGUAACCUGUGUUGGAAAUUAGAUUUUGAACUUUAGCAAGGAGAUAAAUAAGCUUGUGGACACAGAAGUUAUGAAAUACAGUGAUAAAAUAAAAUCAUAUGAAAAGAUCACUUACAUGAAGAUGAUAAUUUCAGAGCUCCCUG
Long non-coding RNA from Gopherus evgoodei (Goodes thornscrub tortoise), 2346 nucleotides. RefSeq lists it as uncharacterized. Lineage: Eukaryota; Metazoa; Chordata; Testudines; Testudinidae. The record is from RefSeq and is a predicted model, not a curated record. The transcript is spliced from 8 exons.